CCCAUCACCACCGGAACCGCCCCCAUUCCUCCGGUCACCGCCUCUCCAUCCACCGCUAAAUCCAGAACCACCACCACCUCCGCCACGGCCACCAGAGUGACCGAAGCUCUCCUUCUUGUUACCGAUCAACGGCGCACCGUCAGGGCCUGUCACAUCGAUGGCCUUGGUCUUGCCGUCAUCGCCGAAGUCGAUGAGGAACUCGACGGACUCACCCUCCGCGACGGUGCGGAAUCCGUCGGAUCUGAUCGAGGACUGGUGGACGAAGAGGUCCUCGCCUCCGGCGUCGGGGGUGAUGAAGCCGUAGCCCUUGACGUCGUUGAACCACCGCACCUUCCCGGUCGAUCUCUCCUCAGCCAUCGUAAAAGGUUAAAAGUUCCGAUAUGGA
This 385-nucleotide long non-coding RNA is filed under the name Malus domestica (apple). RNAcentral describes it as "long non-coding RNA (MDOM_LNC001524)". Lineage: Eukaryota; Viridiplantae; Streptophyta; Magnoliopsida; Rosales; Rosaceae. The record is from RNAcentral.